RNAcentral lists this ribosomal RNA (446 nucleotides) under uncultured bacterium. Its description in RNAcentral is "partial 16S ribosomal RNA". It matches the Rfam family "Bacterial small subunit ribosomal RNA", at positions 338 to 795 of the family's 1533-position model. The record is from RNAcentral.
CCUACGGGAGGCUGCAGUAGGGAAUUUUCGGCAAUGGGGGAAACCCUGACCCAGCGACGCCGCGUGAAUGAAGAAGUUAUUCGUAAUGUAAAGUUCUUUUAACAGGGAAGAAAGAGAAAUUUGACGAUACCUGAGGCAUAACCCACGGCAAACUACGUGCCAGCAGCCGGGGUAAUACGUAGGGAGCGUCCGUUAUCCGGGAUUGUUGGGCGUAAAGGGUGCGUAGAGGGAAUAGUAAGUCUUUGGUAAAAAUGCUGGGCUCAACCCCGUAGGGCAAAAGAUACUGCACAGCUAGAGUAUGAAAGAGGUAAGUGGAACUACAUGUGUAGCGGUAAAAUGCGUAAAUAUAUGUAAGAACACCAGUGGCGAAGGCGGCUUGCUGGGUUGAUACUGACAUUGAGGCACGAAAGCGUGGGGAGCAAACAGGAUUAGAUACCCCAGUAGUC